UCCUACGGGGCGCAGCAGUGGGGAAUAUUGGACAAUGGGCGAAAGCCUGAUCCAGCCAUGCCGCGUGAGUGAUGAAGGCCUUAGGGUUGUAAAGCUCUUUUAUCCGGGAAGAUAAUGACUGUACCGGAAGAAUAAGCCCCGGCUAACUUCGUGCCAGCAGCCGCGGUAAUACGAAGGGGGCUAGCGUUGCUCGGAAUCACUGGGCGUAAAGGGCGCGUAGGCGGAUGAUUAAGUCGGAGGUGAAAGCCCAGGGCUCAACCCUGGAAUUGCCUUCGAUACUGAUCGUCUCGAGAAUGGAAGAGGUAAGUGGAAUACCGAGUGUAGAGGUGAAAUUCGUAGAUAUUCGGUGGAACACCAGUGGCGAAGGCGACUUACUGGUCCAUUUCUGACGCUGAGGCGCGAAAGCGUGGGGAUCAAACAGGAUUAGAAACCCUAGUAGUCCU
RNAcentral lists this ribosomal RNA (443 nucleotides) under uncultured bacterium. RNAcentral's name for it is "bacterial SSU rRNA". It matches the Rfam family "Bacterial small subunit ribosomal RNA", at positions 337 to 797 of the family's 1533-position model. The record is from RNAcentral.